Molecule: ribosomal RNA, 371 nt
Filed under: uncultured bacterium
Lineage: Bacteria
Description: bacterial SSU rRNA
Rfam family: Bacterial small subunit ribosomal RNA
Source: RNAcentral
GUAGGGGGCAAGCGUUGUCCGGAUUCAUUGGGCGUAAAGAGCGUGUAGGCGGCCAGGUAGGUCGGUUGUGAAAACUGGAGGCUCAACCUUCAGAGGUCGACCGAAACCAUCUGGCUAGAGUCCGGGAGAGGAGAGUGGAAUUCCUGGUGUAGCGGUGAAAUGCGCAGAUAUCGGGAAGAACACCCGUGGCGAAGGCGGCUCUCUGGGACGGUACUGACGCUGAGACGCGAAAGCGUGGGGAGCGAACAGGAUUAGAUACCCUGGUAGUCCACGCCGUAAACGAUGGGUGCUAGGUGUGGGGGGUGUCGACUCCCUCCGUGCCGAAGCUAACGCAUUAAGCACCCCGCCUGGGGAGUACGGCCGCAAGGCUA